This 1535-nucleotide ribosomal RNA is filed under the name Escherichia coli. Its description in RNAcentral is "bacterial SSU rRNA". It matches the Rfam family "Bacterial small subunit ribosomal RNA". Lineage: Bacteria; Pseudomonadati; Pseudomonadota; Gammaproteobacteria; Enterobacterales; Enterobacteriaceae. The record is from RNAcentral.
AAGAGUUUGAUCAUGGCUCAGAUUGAACGCUGGCGGCAGGCCUAACACAUGCAAGUCGAACGGUAACAGGAAGCAGCUUGCUGCUUUGCUGACGAGUGGCGGACGGGUGAGUAAUGUCUGGGAAACUGCCUGAUGGAGGGGGAUAACUACUGGAAACGGUAGCUAAUACCGCAUAACGUCGCAAGACCAAAGAGGGGGACCUUAGGGCCUCUUGCCAUCGGAUGUGCCCAGAUGGGAUUAGCUAGUAGGUGGGGUAAAGGCUCACCUAGGCGACGAUCCCUAGCUGGUCUGAGAGGAUGACCAGCCACACUGGAACUGAGACACGGUCCAGACUCCUACGGGAGGCAGCAGUGGGGAAUAUUGCACAAUGGGCGCAAGCCUGAUGCAGCCAUGCCGCGUGUAUGAAGAAGGCCUUCGGGUUGUAAAGUACUUUCAGCGGGGAGGAAGGGAGUAAAGUUAAUACCUUUGCUCAUUGACGUUACCCGCAGAAGAAGCACCGGCUAACUCCGUGCCAGCAGCCGCGGUAAUACGGAGGGUGCAAGCGUUAAUCGGAAUUACUGGGCGUAAAGCGCACGCAGGCGGUUUGUUAAGUCAGAUGUGAAAUCCCCGGGCUCAACCUGGGAACUGCAUCUGAUACUGGCAAGCUUGAGUCUCGUAGAGGGGGGUAGAAUUCCAGGUGUAGCGGUGAAAUGCGUAGAGAUCUGGAGGAAUACCGGUGGCGAAGGCGGCCCCCUGGACGAAGACUGACGCUCAGGUGCGAAAGCGUGGGGAGCAAACAGGAUUAGAUACCCUGGUAGUCCACGCCGUAAACGAUGUCGACUUGGAGGUUGUGCCCUUGAGGCGUGGCUUCCGGAGCUAACGCGUUAAGUCGACCGCCUGGGGAGUACGGCCGCAAGGUUAAAACUCAAAUGAAUUGACGGGGGCCCGCACAAGCGGUGGAGCAUGUGGUUUAAUUCGAUGCAACGCGAAGAACCUUACCUGGUCUUGACAUCCACGGAAGUUUUCAGAGAUGAGAAUGUGCCUUCGGGAACCGUGAGACAGGUGCUGCAUGGCUGUCGUCAGCUCGUGUUGUGAAAUGUUGGGUUAAGUCCCGCAACGAGCGCAACCCUUAUCCUUUGUUGCCAGCGGUCCGGCCGGGAACUCAAAGGAGACUGCCAGUGAUAAACUGGAGGAAGGUGGGGAUGACGUCAAGUCAUCAUGGCCCUUACGACCAGGGCUACACACGUGCUACAAUGGCGCAUACAAAGAGAAGCGACCUCGCGAGAGCAAGCGGACCUCAUAAAGUGCGUCGUAGUCCGGAUUGGAGUCUGCAACUCGACUCCAUGAAGUCGGAAUCGCUAGUAAUCGUGGAUCAGAAUGCCACGGUGAAUACGUUCCCGGGCCUUGUACACACCGCCCGUCACACCAUGGGAGUGGGUUGCAAAAGAAGUAGGUAGCUUAACCUUCGGGAGGGCGCUUACCACUUUGUGAUUCAUGACUGGGGUGAAGUCGUAACAAGGUAACCGUAGGGGAACCUGCGGUUGGAUCACCUCCUU